RNAcentral lists this ribosomal RNA (301 nucleotides) under uncultured bacterium. RNAcentral describes it as "partial 16S ribosomal RNA". It matches the Rfam family "Bacterial small subunit ribosomal RNA", at positions 509 to 807 of the family's 1533-position model. The record is from RNAcentral.
CAGUAGCCGCGGGAAAACGAAGGGGGCUAGCGUUGUUCGGAAUUACUGGGCGUAAAGCGCACGUAGGCGGAUCGAUCAGUCAGGGGUGAAAUCCCAGGGCUCAACCCUGGAACUGCCUUUGAUACUGUCGAUCUGGAGUAUGGAAGAGGUGAGUGGAAUUCCGAGUGUAGCAGUGAAAUGCGUGGAGAUCGAGAGGAACACUUGUGGCGAAAGCGAGUUGCUGGACAGUAUCUGACGCUGAGGCUCGAAGGCCAGGGUAGCGAAAGGGAUUAGAUACCCCUGUAGUCCCUGUCUCUUAUAC